GGGGACCUUCGGGGCCCUAUAACCAUCGGCAGACACCGGCCUUCAAAAGCCAUCUCUGCCGCACAGCUAAACGGAAGACAGACA
Sulfitobacter noctilucae is the source of this 84-nucleotide non-coding RNA. The record is from Rfam. Lineage: Bacteria; Pseudomonadati; Pseudomonadota; Alphaproteobacteria; Rhodobacterales; Roseobacteraceae.